CACGUAGGGACCGAGCGUUGUCCGGAUUUAUUGGGCGUAAAGAGCUCGUAGGCGGUUCAGCAAGUCGGGUGUGAAAACUCUGGGCUCAACCCAGAGACGCCACCCGAUACUGCUGUGGCUAGAGUCCGGUAGGGGAGUGGGGAAUUCCUGGUGUAGCGGUGAAAUGCGCAGAUAUCAGGAGGAACACCGGUGGCGAAGGCGCCACUCUGGGCCGGCACUGACGCUGAGGAGCGAAAGCGUGGGUAGCAAACAGG
RNAcentral lists this ribosomal RNA (254 nucleotides) under uncultured bacterium. Its description in RNAcentral is "partial 16S ribosomal RNA". It matches the Rfam family "Bacterial small subunit ribosomal RNA", at positions 524 to 776 of the family's 1533-position model. The record is from RNAcentral.